This is a long non-coding RNA of Oxyura jamaicensis (ruddy duck), 2001 nucleotides long. RefSeq lists it as uncharacterized. The transcript is spliced from 2 exons. The record is from RefSeq and is a predicted model, not a curated record. Lineage: Eukaryota; Metazoa; Chordata; Aves; Anseriformes; Anatidae.
CAAAUGCUGUGCAGAGAAGCCCAGGCAGGGGUGGAGGGGGGAAUCCACUUCAUCUUGUCAUCUUGUCCCCUCUUCGUGCACAACAUUUACAUUUCAGGCCACUUCCAGCACUGCUCCUACAGGCUGAGGAAUUUUUGGAGCAGCACGGGGGCAGAUGUGCCCCUGCAGCAGCUUUUUGGUAGCUAACGGCACACAAGUUUUGAAAUAAAAUGCUGUUGCAAAAUGAAAAAUGGAAGCACUCUGCCUUGAAACCAUCUCAGCGAUUUCCCCCGGGUCUUCUGCUGGUAAACCAGCAGAAAAUGCAGCCCCCAAAUCCCGUUUUUUCUGUGGAAGUUUUUGACCGUUCAAAACCACAUGGUCCUGUGUAAGAGCGACUUGAAGUGCCCCAAUUUGUGCACAAAUGAGGUCUGGUUUGUGACUGAUGCUCAGAAGCUCAUUUCUUUGUGAUUUCCCCGUGAAAUGGGGCUUUGCUGAGGCACAGGGGUGCGGAGCUCUGCUGCUGCCGGAAGGGAGGAGGCCGGGAGUUUGAACUUUCGAGAGGGUCCCUAGAUCCCUCCAUGUGGAAAAUCAGAACAAUCUGCUGGCAAAGAGGUCAAAUUGGAGGCAGAAGAAAGAUAAUCCCAGCCCUGCCUCCUCCCAGCCAUGCAGCCAAUGGUCUCCAGUGCCCCGGCCCCCUCCAGAGCUCUCCCAGCCUAUCUCAAGGCACUGUGAGACAGCUUGUCUUUAAAAACAACAACAACAACAACAACAACAAAGAAAAAAAAACAGGGAGUUUUGGAGUUUUCCCUGGCAGACAAAUGACAGAAGCACUGAUGCCUUCACUGUUCUCAAGCCUGGGCACCCAGGACGUGCACUUCAGAUGCAUGCACCCCAUCACCCAGCACUACUCUGGUCCAGCAUCUGCGCAGGCACCAAGAGGUGCUGCCUGUGGAGAGCUGUGUCCUGUGCCAAGGGGGAAAGGGACAUCCCGCAGUGGCAGCUUUUCCAUUGCCCUCCGUUAUCCUUCCUUCUGGGCUGUCUAAGCAGGUUAUUAAAUAUUAGAGAGGUUCCUCACCAAAGGCUAGGGUCCACAGCCUUCUCUGGACUUUUGUCAGGUGUCUUUUCGUGAUGAUGGUGGCUAAUUAGCCUACAAAGGAUGAAUGUAGUGGGGGACACAAGCACAUUGCCCAGGCAUCCCUGCUGCACAUCCCUGUGUGGGUGAGGUUCGCUGGCUCCCCUUCCCCAAGGCUCAACCGGGGGCCCGUCACUUUGGAGAAGCAGGGACCUGAUGCCUCCCUCCUCUGCCUGUAAAGGGUGGCUGAGUCAGAUGGUGAUGUGCCACCUAAAAUCAGGGCAGAUGAUUCCUUCCCCACCUGGGUCUUUCACUGGUGUACCCCACCACCCCACUGACUGGCACAACUACCCUCCUGCCAGCCCCCUUUUUAUGAGAAGUGUGACUUUCUGCAGGUCGUGCACGUUGUCUCUAACAGCCGAAACCAAAAGUGGGUCUUCCAAGACACGGGCCGACAUAUUAAACCCGUGCUCACCCUUCCUCUUGUGUAGCAUGCUCUCUGUCCUGUGCUCACCUGCGGUCUUCUCCUGCAGAGCAUUUCAUGCACAGCACCACUGCCAACAAAAAUGCCAGCUCUGUCCGAAGGUAUAAGAAGCAGGUAUCCCCUGAUUUCCUGCCACACCAAUGUCAUCGCUGUUAAAGGCUUGAAAAGAGCUCUUUAAAGAGCUGGCAUGUUUUGUGCCGAUACGCUGGGAUGGUGGUGGUGGUGUGGCACUACACCAGGGUGGAGAGAUGGAGGAAGCUCGGCUACUUGAAUUGCAGUCUUUCAUUCCGAUAUUUAUGUAAAAAGCUUUUAUGAUGAGGAAAAAUAAAAAUAAAAAACAGAGAGUAUUUUGGAUGGUAGUGCUCAAGAAAAUCCUCAAAACCAUUGAUUUUAGGUGUCCGAGAUUCCUGAGUCCUAAGGAAACGUGUAGCAUAAGGUCCUCUCCCAUCCUUACCUGUGCAAAAAA